RNAcentral lists this long non-coding RNA (355 nucleotides) under Elaeis guineensis (African oil palm). RNAcentral's name for it is "long non-coding RNA (EGUI_LNC051132)". Lineage: Eukaryota; Viridiplantae; Streptophyta; Magnoliopsida; Arecales; Arecaceae. The record is from RNAcentral.
UCUCUUAGUCUCUCGAUCUCCCAUCUCGAUGGUGCCUCCGGCCUCUCCCUCCCCUCCUCUCCUACUCCUCUGGAGUUCAGAUGCCCUGCUUCUCCAUCUCCACUGUGCGAUAUGCUCGUCGAUGGUCGGACCCCGACACCAAUGCGGUGGACGAAAGAGAUCCUUUCCCACUCUCUCUCUGUCUCCCUCUCUCCCUCUCUCUGUCUCUUAGUCUCCCACUCUUCCUCUCUGUCGAGAACUCGAGAUCCCUCCAUCGAGAUCUGCUUCCCGACGGCACCGAGCCCUCCAUCCUCUCCUGCUCCUGAUUUCUCUCCCAUCGGAUCCACUCUACAGCUCUCAGUGCCCUCUCUUCCUC